This 468-nucleotide ribosomal RNA is filed under the name uncultured bacterium. RNAcentral describes it as "bacterial SSU rRNA". It matches the Rfam family "Bacterial small subunit ribosomal RNA", at positions 90 to 544 of the family's 1533-position model. The record is from RNAcentral.
GAGGAGUGGCGGACGGGUGAGUAACACGUGGGUAACCUACCCAUCAGAGGGGGAUAACACUUGGAAACAGGUGCUAAUACCGCAUAACAGUUUAUGCCGCAUGGCAUAAGAGUGAAAGGCGCUUUCGGGUGUCGCUGAUGGAUGGACCCGCGGUGCAUUAGCUAGUUGGUGAGGUAACGGCUCACCAAGGCCACGAUGCAUAGCCGACCUGAGAGGGUGAUCGGCCACACUGGGACUGAGACACGGCCCAGACUCCUACGGGAGGCAGCAGUAGGGAAUCUUCGGCAAUGGACGAAAGUCUGACCGAGCAACGCCGCGUGAGUGAAGAAGGUUUUCGGAUCGUAAAACUCUGUUGUUAGAGAAGAACAAGGACGUUAGUAACUGAACGUCCCCUGACGGUAUCUAACCAGAAAGCCACGGCUAACUACGUGCCAGCAGCCGCGGUAAUACGUAGGUGGCAAGCGUUGU